AGUGAACGCUGGCGGUAGGCCUAACACAUGCAAGUCGAACGGCAGCACAGUAAGAGCUUGCUCUUACGGGUGGCGAGUGGCGGACGGGUGAGGAAUACAUCGGAAUCUACUUUUUCGUGGGGGAUAACGUAGGGAAACUUACGCUAAUACCGCAUACGACCUACGGGUGAAAGCAGGGGAUCUUCGGACCUUGCGCGAUUGAAUGAGCCGAUGUCGGAUUAGCUAGUUGGCGGGGUAAAGGCCCACCAAGGCGACGAUCCGUAGCUGGUCUGAGAGGAUGAUCAGCCACACUGGAACUGAGAUACGGUCCAGACUCCUACGGGAGGCAGCAGUGGGGAAUAUUGGACAAUGGGCGCAAGCCUGAUCCAGCCAUACCGCGUGGGUGAAGAAGGCCUUCGGGUUGUAAAGCACUUUUGUUGGGAAAGAAAAGCAGCAGGUUAAUACCCCGCUGUUCUGACGGUACCCAAAGAAUAAGCACCGGCUAACUUCGUG
Molecule: ribosomal RNA, 492 nt
Filed under: uncultured bacterium
Lineage: Bacteria
Description: partial 16S ribosomal RNA
Rfam family: Bacterial small subunit ribosomal RNA
Source: RNAcentral